Orbicella faveolata is the source of this 2083-nucleotide long non-coding RNA. NCBI's taxonomy places the organism in Eukaryota, Metazoa, Cnidaria, Anthozoa, Scleractinia, Merulinidae. The record is from RefSeq and is a predicted model, not a curated record.
AGUAUAAACAACUUACUCUUUUUAAAAGGUGUUUGCGUCUGCACUGAACGAUACUCUCUCCUUCUAAUUUGGGUUAGGCGACUUUUUGUCUGCAAACAGUUAAGUAACAAAAUAAAUAAAAACCUAAGGAAAGGGAUCAAGGGAUCAUUGUAGUUGUACUGUAAUCUACCGACAGUUUUAAGAAUCUGCGUCCCCCUCUCCCUUUCUCCGCUGGAAAAUAAACCUAAACGUUUUAAGAGAGUACAAGUUGCUAUGGAAAUGCAGAGAUCUACUUUAUCCUAAACAAUUUUGAUGUUUAUGACAAAUCUGAGAACUCUGCAAGUUUCAACAGGUGAAGUGCAUGGUAAUAAAACUAAAGUAGAAAAGAGCAAGUAAAGAGUUAUUUUUUAGUAAAAAAUCGAAUUAACUAAAACAGACGGUAAAACACUAACUAGGAGAAAUUUGAUUUCGGACGGAGGGGCAACAUCAACACCUCCCGUUGCUUUGUGGCUGUUGCUGCUGACUCCUGAAGCCAUCUCGCCUUUUUUAGGCCGUAGACUCGUGUUAAGUGUAAAUACACAGCGAAAACCUGUAGCUCUUUCAUUCGAUGCCUUCCUUUUCAGUUCAUCUUCAUCAUUGGUCUCAACACUUUGAGCUUUAUCAGACUCGGUUGAUGCUAUCUUUUCCAGAUCAUCAGCAUUUGUCUCGAUACUCUGAUCAGCUCUCUCCGGCUCGCCAAGCAAUUCAUCUAGCAUCUGAUAAUGAAGAAUAAAAAUAAAACUUCCCCACUGGCCUUUAUUUGGUGUAAUUUUAUGUAAAGAACAUGCAUGCCCCGGUUUCACGUUUGUCCUGAUCGGUAGGCUUAUUUAUAAAGGCCAGUUUAACCCCCACUUUUUGUCGCUCCAAUUUCUUUUGUAUAUUAGUAAAUCGCGAGGAUAUAUUGUUAGCUUGAUUACAAGAUCUUUUGCAUCUAAUAACUGACCCGACAGGGUGGAAAGAACUUGACUUGGAAAACUUGAUGAGGCUCAUAUCUACAGCUCCUUGGCACUGAUUCCGGUUCACAUGCGUUAAAACGCAACUUCAGUAAAUGUGGUAAGAUGUGCGACAUCGGAACAUUUCUAAUAUGGUUAUUACAGAGACCAGGCGGAUUGACACCACUUGGAUUGUUAACGGUGAACUGACUGAUCGUUCUGCACUCAGUGACCAGUUAUCAGAUUUUUGUGCACAGUAUCCGAUAUACCACGUGAAAAAAGCGUAAGAGAGUCUGGAGGUGACAGGAAUCGAAACAAAAGAAAGAGCACAUCGUGCUCGGAGAGAACAACCAUGGACCUUCAUGACGGUGAACCUUUGUGCCAUUGGGGCAUGGACCUGAAUACUGCCUACCAAAAAUGUCCCAAGCCUGAAUGGAAACUGCACGAAUACCACAGCUGUGUCAAAUACGUCGAGUGCAGUGAUGAUAGUGGCAAGUCAUAUGACCAAGGCUGCAUAACUUUUCACGACUAUCGCUUUCUUGUGUGCUACGAGUUUAUUUGCGAGAACAACAAUAUGGAUCAAGAUGAUCAUCAACAAUAUGGGUCUGGGUCAGACCAAGGGUCUGGGGAGGAGUCUGGUUAGGGUGGAUCAGGCGAUGUUUUGGAACGACUGUAAUCAGAUUGGAUCCGGCAAUGUCAGGUCAAAUGCAGUUCCUCUUUUCCCUUAGUUCGUCGUCCGAAAAGAAAAAGACUUGAAGGAAGAAUUGACCGCGCAAAAACUGGGGAUAAGCUGCCCAACUCGCCCCAGGCAACCACGCGGAUAGCUGUAGAGACGAGGUCGCUCUCACUUUUGGCGCGGUCUUUAUUUCCUCUCGCCCGCCUCUUUUAAUUCGACGAAGGAAAGGGUAAAAAAAUAACUGCUCAGAGUAAAUGUGUUUUCGGAUAGGAUAUGCUAUUUUCAUAUCCUGGAUUUGACUGAUUUUUUUGGCGUAAAACGUGAUUUUCUUAAACGUGAUUCAGUUUUCAGUUCGCAUUGAAUUGUGAUUUUGUAGCCAUCGGCAGGAAUUCCGUGAACUAAAUAAAAUAUGAAAACUCUAGUUUCAUUUUGAAUAAAGAAUGUUCGACAAAAAGAA